This 423-nucleotide ribosomal RNA is filed under the name uncultured bacterium. RNAcentral's name for it is "partial 16S ribosomal RNA". It matches the Rfam family "Bacterial small subunit ribosomal RNA", at positions 361 to 776 of the family's 1533-position model. The record is from RNAcentral.
AUUUUGUACAACGGGGGAAACCCUGAUCCAGCCACCCCGCGUGUAUGAUGAAGGCCUUCGGGUUGUAAAGUACUUUUGGCAGAGAAGAAAAGGUAUCUCCUAACACGAGAUAAUGCUGAAGGUAUCUGCAGAAUAAGCACCGGCUAACUACGGACCAGCAGCCGCGGUAAUACGUAGGGUGCAAGCGAUAAUCGGAAUUACUGGGGGUAAAGGGUGUGUAGGCGGUUCGGAAAGAAAGAUGUGGAAUCCCAGGGCUCAACCUUGGAACUGCAUUUUUAACUGCCGAGCUAGAGUAUGUCAGAGGGGGGUAGAAUUCCACGUGUAGCAGUGAAAUGCGUAGAUAUGUGGAGGAAUACCGAUGGCGAAGGCAGCCCCCUGGGAUAAUACUGACGCUCAGACACGAAAGCGUGGGGAGCAAACAGG